Molecule: non-coding RNA, 304 nt
Organism: Theobroma cacao (cacao)
Lineage: Eukaryota; Viridiplantae; Streptophyta; Magnoliopsida; Malvales; Malvaceae
Source: RefSeq, a predicted model, not a curated record
AGGAAAAAUUGGUGGAUUUCAAGGAAUCAAGUGACAAAAGGUGGUGAAACUUCCGAUAAGGGUAAGGAGAUUGUACUCGAAGACUAGGACUAGGAGUACUUUGACUCCUGAUAUUGCUCAGGUUAGUCUGUAGAUAGUUGAUUUCAUUGAGGGCUACAGUUGGAUUUGCAUCCUUAAAAACUGUAGGUUCGUAGCCUUUGUUACUUUUGAUCAUUCGGGGGCCCACACGUCAUUGUAAAUUAAAUUACAUACUCUAGUUAUCUGUGUUACUGUAUGUACGAAUUUAUUUUGCUUUAAUGCUACA